This 464-nucleotide ribosomal RNA is filed under the name uncultured bacterium. RNAcentral's name for it is "partial 16S ribosomal RNA". It matches the Rfam family "Bacterial small subunit ribosomal RNA", at positions 339 to 795 of the family's 1533-position model. The record is from RNAcentral.
CUACGGGGCGCUGCAGUGAGGAAUUUUGCGCAAUGGGGGAAACCCUGACGCAGCAACGCCGCGUGAGUGAAGAAGGCUUUCGGGUCGUAAAGCUCUGUCAGAGGGGAAAAAUGUCUAUCGAUGAAUAGUCGGUAGGUUUGAUGGUACCAUCAGAGGAAGCACCGGCUAACUCCGUGCCAGCAGCCGCGGUAAUACGGAGGGUGCGAGCGUUGUUCGGAAUUAUUGGGCGUAAAGCGCGUGUAGGCGGCUUGGUCAGUCAGAUGUGAAAGCCCUGGGCUCAACUCAGGAAGUGCAUUUGAAACUAGCUCGCUUGAGUAUGGGAGAGGAGAGUGGAAUUCCCAGUGUAGAGGUGAAAUUCGUAGAUAUUGGGAGGAACACCCGUGGCGAAGGCGACUCUCUGGACCAAUACUGACGCUGAGACGCGAAAGCGUGGGGAGCAAACAGGAUUAGAUACCCCCGUAGUC